UCGCUAAGUACAUGGCAAGUCGAGCGGGACAGGAAGGGAGCUUGCUCCCGGAUGUUAGCGGCGGACGGGUGAGUUACACGUGGGUAACCUGCCUGUAAGACUGGGAUAACUCCGGGAAACCGGAGCUAAUACCGGAUAGUUCCUUGAACCGCAUGGUUCAAGGAUGAAAGACGGUUUCGGCUGUCACUUACAGAUGGACCCGCGGCGCAUUAGCUAGUUGGUGAGGUAACGGCUCACCAAGGCGACGAUGCGUAGCCGACCUGAGAGGGUGAUCGGCCACACUGGGACUGAGACACGGCCCAGACUCCUACGGGAGGCAGCAGUAGGGAAUCUUCCGCAAUGGACGAAAGUCUGACGGAGCAACGCCGCGUGAGUGAUGAAGGUUUUCGGAUCGUAAAGCUCUGUUGUUAGGGAAGAACAAGUGCAAGAGUAACUGCUUGCACCUUGACGGUACCUAACCAGAAAGCCACGGCUAACUACGUGCCAGCAGCCGCGGUAAUACGUAGGUGGCAAGCGUUGUCCGGAAUUAUUGGGCGUAAAGGGCUCGCAGGCGGUUUCUUAAGUCUGAUGUGAAAGCCCCCGGCUCAACCGGGGAGGGUCAUUGGAAACUGGGAAACUUGAGUGCAGAAGAGGAGAGUGGAAUUCCACGUGUAGCGGUGAAAUGCGUAGAGAUGUGGAGGAACACCAGUGGCGAAGGCGACUCUCUGGUCUGUAACUGACGCUGAGGAGCGAAAGCGUGGGGAGCGAACAGGAUUAGAUACCCUGGUAGUCCACGCCGUAAACGAUGAGUGCUAAGUGUUAGGGGGUUUCCGCCCCUUAGUGCUGCAGCUAACGCAUUAAGCACUCCGCCUGGGGAG
Molecule: ribosomal RNA, 857 nt
Filed under: Bacillus pumilus
Lineage: Bacteria; Bacillati; Bacillota; Bacilli; Caryophanales; Bacillaceae
Description: bacterial SSU rRNA
Rfam family: Bacterial small subunit ribosomal RNA
Source: RNAcentral